ACAUGUUCCCAUAUGAUCCCUGAAGUUAAGCAACAUCGAGCCUGGCCAGUACCUAGAUGAGUGACUUCUUGAGAAUACAAGGUACUGUAA
Molecule: non-coding RNA, 90 nt
Organism: Acanthosepion pharaonis
Lineage: Eukaryota; Metazoa; Mollusca; Cephalopoda; Sepiida; Sepiidae
Source: the annotation of a GenBank genome assembly